CCCUUAGAUGUUCUGGGCCGCACGCGCGCUACACUGACGAAGUCAGCGAGCAUGUCCUACGCCGACAGGUGCGGGGAAUCUUGUCAAACUUCGUCGUGAUGGGGAUUGAUUAUUGAAAUUCUUGAUCAUCAACGAGGAAUUCCUAGUAAGCGCAAGUCAGCAGCUUGCGUUGAUUACGUCCCUGCCCUUUGUACACACCGCCCGUCGCUACUACCGAUUGAAUGGUUUAGUAAGAUCUUCGGAUUGGCGCCACUGCGGCUCAGCAAUGGGCUCGGUGGAUGCCGAAAAGUUGAUCAAACUUGAUCAUUUAGAGGAAGUAAAAGUCGUAACA
This 331-nucleotide ribosomal RNA is filed under the name uncultured eukaryote. RNAcentral describes it as "partial 18S ribosomal RNA". It matches the Rfam family "Eukaryotic small subunit ribosomal RNA", at positions 1470 to 1796 of the family's 1831-position model. The record is from RNAcentral.